Molecule: long non-coding RNA, 562 nt
Filed under: Chrysolophus pictus (golden pheasant)
Lineage: Eukaryota; Metazoa; Chordata; Aves; Galliformes; Phasianidae
Description: lncRNA (ENSCPIG00010006933.1)
Source: RNAcentral
AAUCCUAGUCGUGGUCCCACUGAAAUUAUGAAAACUUCUAUUUACUUUUUCAGGGCAAGGCCACAUCGAUCCUUUAAUUAGCUGGGACCCAAGCUUACUACUGAAGUUAGUGACAAACUCUUAAACUGCCUCUAGCAAUUAUGUACCUUGGAUUAGUGCAUAUUAUGAUUGCUUCUGAUCUGGGAGCCUCAGCAUGUGCAGUUUGUACAAGCCCCACCAUUUGCUUGAUCUUCACAUGCAGGGCAGUUGAAAAUGAUGUCCCCUCUUAGUGGAGCUUGUGAAGACACAAAUGUUUCUUCCAACUGAAGGAAUUCAAAGCUGCUGAAUUACAGGUUACCUCUUAGAGUUAAGAGACCAGAAGUGAAGCACAGAACCAGAUCCAAAUGACACAAAAGGUAAGAAGUGGAAAACGUUGGCAAUCAUUGCUUUUUCAUAGGCAACAAUCAACCAUAGCUGCUCUCAAGAAGGUGUGCCUCAAAGAUCCACUGAGCUCAUUCAAAUAACUUUAUGAUCUCAGUAACUUGAAUUGGAGAUCUGAUUGCACGGAGGUAAAGAGGGGGAG